This 439-nucleotide ribosomal RNA is filed under the name uncultured bacterium. RNAcentral describes it as "bacterial SSU rRNA". It matches the Rfam family "Bacterial small subunit ribosomal RNA", at positions 70 to 503 of the family's 1533-position model. The record is from RNAcentral.
AACAGGUGUAGCAAUACAUGCUGACGAGCGGCGAACGGGUGAGUAAUGCUUUGGAAUCUUCCCAGUAGUGGGGAAUAACCAGUCGAAAGAUUGGCUAAUACCGCAUACGUCUGUAAAGGGAAAGCGGGGGCUCGUAAGACCUCGCGCUAUUGGAUGAGCCAAAGUCGGAUUAGCUUGUUGGUGGGGUAAUGGCCUACCAAGGCGACAAUCCGUAGCUGGUCUGAGAGGACGACCAGCCACACCGGAACUGAGACACGGUCCGGACUCCUACGGGAGGCAGCAGUGGGGAAUAUUGGACAAUGGGGGAAACCCUGAUCCAGCGACGCCGCGUGUGUGAAGAAGGCCUGCGGGUUGUAAAGCACUUUUAGUGGGGACAAAAAGCUACGGAUUAAUACUCUGUGGUCUUGAUUUAACCCAAAGAAAAAGCACCGGCUAACUC